RNAcentral lists this ribosomal RNA (716 nucleotides) under Lycogala sp. RNAcentral describes it as "partial small subunit ribosomal RNA". It matches the Rfam family "Eukaryotic small subunit ribosomal RNA", at positions 14 to 558 of the family's 1831-position model. Lineage: Eukaryota; Evosea; Eumycetozoa; Liceales; Enteridiidae. The record is from RNAcentral.
CUGCCAGAAUUCAUAUGCUUGUCCCGAAGACUCAAGCCAUGCAUGCCUAGAAGAAAAAUCGGUGCCGAGGUGGUGUUGAGGUUUCGAUCUCUUUGCUGCUGAGGUGCUGAGGAAUCAGCGAACGGCUCCGCAUAUCUGUUGUCACCUAUCGUGGUAAAUCAGGCGUGGAUAUAGCAUGGAAAAGCUGUGUGUAACACAGUCAAUAUGGGGCAACCGCCGUCACUUGGCAACGACAGGUGGGGUAAGCGGGCUCAUGACCAUGAAUCCUGCCUCUUUAACAGCUCCCAAAGUACCUUCAGGGCACAAUGCCAGGCCCUUAGGGCCUGCCAAUGUGACAGUCCUGGGGAAACGGAGGCCUCAGCUGGCCCGGGCGAGCUCCCCAGCCACACCCCUUCGUAAAGGCGGUGGUUAUGGCUAGUUCACCGGGCUUACUGCAGAGACUAACCACAAGCGCACGAUGGGCUUCAGACCUAUCAGCUAGAUGGUAGGGUAUUGGCCUACCAUGGCUAUGACGGGUACAGAGGAUUAGGGUUUGAUCCUGGAGAGGUAGCCUGAGAAAUCGCUCCCACUUCUAAGGAAGGCAGCAGGCGCGUAACGUUCCCAAUGCUAGUAACCCUAGUGAGGACGUGAGGGGACAUAACAAUACCUCUUUAGCUAGUGGGUAAUUGACAAUGGGGCGGGCUCAAACACCCCACUGAGAAGCGACUGGAGGACAG